GGCAGGCCAGACGGUCGCGUGCUUAGGCAUGAGGAAAGUCCGGGCUCCACAGGGCAAGGAUGCCGUGAUAACGUCCGGCGUGAGUAAUCAUAGGGAAAGUGCAACAGAAACACACCGCCGAAACGGGUAAUGCCGUGGCAAGGUUGAAAUGGUGAGGCAAGAGCUCACCGGCGCUGCGGAGACGCAGCGGCCGUGUAAACCCCAUCCGGAGCAAGGUCGGUGAACGCAAGGCGGCUGCCCGUCGCCGUUCAGUUGGUGGACCGCAUGAGCGAGCAGAGAUGUUUCGCCUAGAUAGAUGAUCGUCUAAUACAGAACCCGGCUUACAGACCUGUCC
RNAcentral lists this RNase P RNA (334 nucleotides) under [Eubacterium] saphenum. RNAcentral describes it as "Bacterial RNase P class A". It matches the Rfam family "Bacterial RNase P class A". Rfam says of the family: Ribonuclease P (RNase P) is a ubiquitous endoribonuclease, found in archaea, bacteria and eukarya as well as chloroplasts and mitochondria. Its best characterised activity is the generation of mature 5'-ends of tRNAs by cleaving the 5'-leader elements of precursor-tRNAs. Cellular RNase Ps are ribonucleoproteins. Lineage: Bacteria; Bacillati; Bacillota; Clostridia; Peptostreptococcales; Anaerovoracaceae. The record is from RNAcentral.